UACAGAGGUCUCAAGCGUUGUUCGGAAUUACUGGGCGUAAAGGGCGCGUAGGCGGUACUUCAAGUCAGGCGUGAAAGCCCCGGGCUCAACCUGGGAACCGCGCUUGAGACUGGAGAACUAGAGUUCGGGAGAGGAUGGUGGAAUUCCCAGUGUAGAGGUGAAAUUCGUAGAUAUUGGGAAGAACACCGAUGGCGAAGGCAGCCAUCUGGACCGACACUGACGCUGAGGCGCGAAAGCGUGGGGAGCAAACAGG
RNAcentral lists this ribosomal RNA (253 nucleotides) under uncultured bacterium. RNAcentral describes it as "partial 16S ribosomal RNA". It matches the Rfam family "Bacterial small subunit ribosomal RNA", at positions 524 to 776 of the family's 1533-position model. The record is from RNAcentral.